Molecule: long non-coding RNA, 129 nt
Organism: Sapajus apella (tufted capuchin)
Lineage: Eukaryota; Metazoa; Chordata; Mammalia; Primates; Cebidae
Exons: 2
Source: RefSeq, a predicted model, not a curated record
GUGCCUGUAAUCCCAGCACUUUGGGAGGCCGAGGCAGGAGAAUCACUUGAACCUGGGAGGCGCAGUUUACAGUAAGCGGAGAUCAGGCACUGCAACUCCAUCCUGGGCAACAGAGCGAGACUCUGUCUU